Molecule: ribosomal RNA, 254 nt
Filed under: uncultured bacterium
Lineage: Bacteria
Description: partial 16S ribosomal RNA
Rfam family: Bacterial small subunit ribosomal RNA
Source: RNAcentral
UACGUAGGGGGCAAGCGUUGUCCGGAAUUAUUGGGCGUAAAACGCUUGUAGGUGGCUACGUCAAGUCGGACGUGAAAUCUCCCGGCUUAACUGGGAGGGGUCGCUCGAUACUGGCGAGCUCGAGGCAGGUAGGGGGAAGCGGAAUUCCCGGUGUAGUGGUGGAAUGCGUAGAUAUCGGGAGGAACACCAGUGGCGAAGGCGGCUUCCUGGACCUGUUCUGACACUGAGGAGCGAAAGCGUGGGGAGCGAUCCGG